This 31-nucleotide non-coding RNA is filed under the name Mus musculus (house mouse). The record is from RNAcentral. Lineage: Eukaryota; Metazoa; Chordata; Mammalia; Rodentia; Muridae.
UCUUAGCCAAAAAGCUGAGAAGCAACGAGGU